Molecule: unclassified non-coding RNA, 216 nt
Filed under: Phaeosphaeria podocarpi
Lineage: Eukaryota; Fungi; Ascomycota; Dothideomycetes; Pleosporales; Phaeosphaeriaceae
Description: partial internal transcribed spacer region
Rfam family: Eukaryotic small subunit ribosomal RNA (bases 1-46)
Source: RNAcentral
AAGUCGUAACAAGGUUUCCGUAGGUGAACCUGCGGAAGGAUCAUUACAUUCAGUAGCCUAGCUACUUGUUUAUACCCUUGUUUUUUGCGUACCUAUUGUUUCCUCGGCGGGCUUGCUCGCCGGUUGGACAAAACCUAUAACCUUUUUUAAAUCUUCAAUCAGCGUCUGAAUGAAAUAUAAUAAUUACAACUUUCAACAACGGAUCUCUUGGUUCUG